AUUUGUUUCAGUUGUCUGCUCUAAGGAAGCUUCUUAUUCCUAGAUUCAAGCAGAAAAGGUGAAGCCAGAAACUUGAAGCAAGGUAAGACUUAAAGUACCUAAACUGGUUGUCAAUGACUCCCAUUUCCAAUAACUGUGCCAGUAUUGGGUCCAAUCCUGUCCUCCAUUAAGUGAUGAUGAGGCAGAGCAUAGGGAAAUACAUUAUUACUGCGAAGGUGACUGAACGCUAAAGCAGAUGGCAUGUGGAGGUUGUGGUAUCUCAGUCUAUGGAGACAUUCAAAACUUGG
This 287-nucleotide long non-coding RNA is filed under the name Gallus gallus (chicken). Lineage: Eukaryota; Metazoa; Chordata; Aves; Galliformes; Phasianidae. The record is from RNAcentral.